Molecule: long non-coding RNA, 4662 nt
Organism: Dasypus novemcinctus (nine-banded armadillo)
Lineage: Eukaryota; Metazoa; Chordata; Mammalia; Cingulata; Dasypodidae
Source: Ensembl
CGCAAGUAUGAAUUUUCACCCCUGUUUUGCAGAUGAAGCCAGUGAGGCCCAGUGAAGUACAUGCACUUGCCCAAGGACACAGCCUCGACAUGGUGCAGCCAGGACGUGAACUCUGUCUUAGGAGGAAAGCUGGUUUUGCUUUCGUUUUUGUUUUUUGCUUUGCAUUUUUGGCAGCUCUGAAGCGGGUCCACCUUCCAUUUCUCCACAGCAGCGUCACGGCUUCUGACAACUGUGCUGGCCGGGACCUCCGUACAGUGUGGAAAAGCAGCGGCGAUUUGGCUCCGUGCCCUCGUCUGAUGCCAGUGACCCUCGGGUUGGUUUGCUGUACACGGUGGUUAGUUGCACUGCAGUCGAUGAAGGACGUUGCCAGUUUGCCAGGAGCUUAUUUUUGUAUAUUAAACCGUUAAAGGGUGAGGUCAAACCCGUGGGCCUUCUCUCCUCCACGCCUUUGUCUGCCGCCUGCCUCCCCAGUCCCCUGCCCGCGAGCUUGUGCCUGCACGGCUUGGGGGCAGCGGGACCGCUCCACCCCGCAGGCUGCACUCAGCCACCGCUCCGUAAUCGGAUUUGCUCCACAGCCUGCGACUCGUUUUUUAUUUUACUGGAAUUUUAAAUUGCUUUGUUGCCUCCUAUCUUACUAGUGUCAGUGGAAGCAGGGGCACCUGCAGGAAUGCUGGCAGGGCUGCUGGAAAGCCUGGGCAGUGGCUCUAGUCCUUUGGGCUCGGGAGGUGCCCGUUGGGUGGGGUAGGGGGAAAGAGCCGCCCCUUGGUCUUCCUGGGCUGGCAAAAACAGUCCGAGCCCACAAGACUUGUCCUCAGGGAAGGUGAGAUCCUCAUGUCCCCUUGUGGGUAUGGGGGUGGUGGGGACAGGUAAAGCGAGCCAGCUGCCAGGCCUGGGGGGUGGGGAGGCUCUCUCCUUCAGUGACAGCAGGGGAAACUGAGGCCCAGAGAGGGGUGGCCACUCACCUACCAAGACCAUGCACACACCCCACCAGGACUUGCUCCCCAGGCCUGUCUGGGUCCCAGAGCCUGUGCCGUCAGAGGCUCAUGGGUGCGUGGCAGGGCGGGUGCCACCCCUUCACUUAUGGAGGAGCAGCCCGAGUCGCUUACCCAAGGUCCUGGAGAGCUCAGCUGAGGGCUGGGCCUCGUGUCCUACGGUGGCUGCCUCGGCCCCGUGGGUCACGGACAAGGCAGGCCUACUGUGUCCCCAGCCAGGCCUCCACAGCUCCUUCCUCUCUGGCUUCUGUGUGGCCUGAGUUGGUUUUUUUUUUUUUUUUUUUUUUAGCAGCACGUGACUCAGUUUGUGGAUCGACCCCAUGAUGAAAAAGUCAAAUAUUUUUUAGCAGGGAAGGUCCUGGGUAGCUGAGAUAAACAGGCUUCUGUCUCAGGGGGUCGGCAGGUCCUGCUUGGGGACACAGAGACUGUGGCCAGGUGAGAGUCACCUAAGAUUGUAGGCUGAGAACGGGGGUGGAACUUCCCUCCCCCAGUCUUUCCUGCCUUAUUCUCGGGUCCGCUGGAACAGGUCACAACAGCCAGGCGCUUCCACCCAGCCUGACCUUGGAGUCGCUGAGAGGGUGCGCUGUGGCGUUUCUGACAGCCAGCCCCGUGCAGUCAGGCUACGCUGACCUCCAUUUACGGGGGAGGGUGCUGAGGUCAGGAAAAGGAGGGAGGGGUCUCACACCGGGAUACCCUCCCCUGCCGCUUCUGACAUUAUCAUCACAGGCAGGCAGAGUGGGGUGGCUUCUUCGUCCAUCUGCUCUGACCCCUCCCCAACAGAAGGGGCAACGCAGGUCCGGAAGGCUGCGUGAUUUGCCCAAGGUCGCGCUGUACAUGGCCCGGGGAAGACCUCUCUUCCUUGGUGGGAAAUGCGUGGCAGAGCCCCAGGUCAGGUCACGAGGCUCAGCGCCAGCCCUUCCCGUCUUGAUUCUGCCAGGGGCAAGACGAGAGCCAGGAGCCGCCUCGCCAAGUACUCGGGCGUUUACAGGCACAGGGUGCCCAAUUCAAUUUGCUUAUCUCCCCUUCCUGCUUCCCUCCUUCCUGUGCUCUUCAAUUACAAGCAGAGUCAGUGUCUUCUCUAAUAAGUGCAGAGAUGACAAAGGAUAGGAGCGGGCAGGGGAGGCAGGAUGUCCUUGGUGGCUGUCCACGCUCUCAGGGCAGACAUCCUAGUUCUGAAGGCCUCGCAGCAGGAAGGAAGGUCCCAGAUCACUGGGCCCGGCCAGCUGGUAGCAGAGCGCCAGGCGGCGAGCCCUGAGAGCUGGACAACAGGCACCCAAGGCUAAAACGCAUGGACCUUUAGAGUCACCCGGGAGGACUGUUCUAACACAGAUCCACGUAGGUAGGAGAAUGUCCAUUACAGCGUUGUUUAGAGAGUGAUAUAUCAGAAACGACCUCAAGGUCCUCGGUGAAGGGAUCACUCAAGUGACUGGGCUCCUGUCUACCAUAUGGGAGGUCCAGGGUUCAAUUCCCAGGGCCUCCUGGUGGAGGCGAGCUGGCCGGCACAGCAAAAAAGAGACAGAGCAAACAAGAGAGCCGAGGUGGUGCAAGAGAUGGAGCACCUCUCUCCCACUCUGGAAGGUCCCAGGACCAGUUCCUGGUGCUGCCUAAAGAGAAGACAAGCAGACACAGAAGCAGCACAGAGAAUGUACAAAGAGAGCAGACAAUGGGGGGGGCGACGAUGGAGAGAAAUAAAGCUUUUUUAAAAAAGUGGUAAGAUGCCAAGGUGAAUGUUAUGAGUGAAUGUUUAUGUAAAAGGUAAAUAGUGCCCCACACGCGUGUGGGUAUUUUCCAGGGGGGUAUUUAAGCGCUACCAGUGAUUUCCUUUGGGAAGGAGGAUAAUUUUUCACUGCACACUCUUCAAGCCUUCUGAAUUGUAUGCCAUGGACAAUCUAUUCAGUAAAGUACUUAAUUUUUAAGAAUGAGAUGUUCUCUCUGGAAAAGGAACAAAAGUGAGCUGUACAUGAAAAACAUUUUUUCUCGACACUGAAGGCCCUCCCAAAUCACCUGUCAUUGUUGUUUUCAAUGGGGCAGAUAGUUCUUUCUCUAAGCCCCUGUCUCUGAAAGAAAACCAGCAGAGGCCCUUCGGGUUUGAGGAUGCUGGUAGAACAUCUUAGGUUCCCCGCCUCUUCUGGGAACAAACUCAUGUUCCAUUUUUGGUUAACUAGGAGAUAACUAACCCCCGAAACAAAGAAAGGCUGCUGGGGGCAGCACAGAGAAGGUGCCACAUGGAGCCUAGAGUAAAACUGGGGGUGCCUAGGCCAGUGGCGGGCAUUUCCCUAGAUCCCACCUGGUUUUGCUAAAUAAAUUGCACAGCCACGUUAUAUUUGCAGGAACCUAUUUGUCUCUGAGGCAACUGGAAAGAAAGAAAAGGACACGUGUGCAUGUACAAACCUCUGGGUCAAAAGGGAAAUGCCAGUUAGCUCAGACAUGGGCCUUUGCUCAACUUGAACCUCCUGCAAAUAGAUGGGCUGGGGAAAAAACUCACCUUCUUCAAAGGUAAGUAAUCAAAACCGAACCAACCUAGGACCUAAUAAAAAUAUAUAUGAGGAAAAAUGAAGGAAGCAACAAAGCAUGUCCUUCAGUAGGUGGAGGGAUAAACAAACUGUGCACCAUACAUACAAUGGAAUAUUAUCCAGAAGUAAAAAGAAAUGAGCUAUCAAGUCAUGAAAAGGCACAGAGGAACCUUAGAUGCAUAUGACAAAGGAAAAGAAGUCAGUCUGAAAAAAGCUACAUACUGUAUGAUUCCAGCUAUACGACAUUCUGGAAAAGGCAAAGAGAUGAUAUAAAAAUCAGAGGUUGCUGGGUGGGAGGGAGGGUGGUGAGUAGGUGGGGUUAGAGCCAGUGCUUGCUGGGCUGGAGUCCCCAAAGAAGGAAACUGAACUAAUACAAGGCUUGAAUUCAUAUGUCAAAAGGGCACAGUACCUGUUUCAGAGAACACAUUUUGAAUGGUCAACCCCAAGACACAUCCUAGUGAAGUAACUGGAAAUCAAAGAUACGGAAAGACUGAAGUGUCUAAGGGUGGAAAAUGUGGGCUGGCUUCAUCUGCCCAUGGCAGUGAGUAGAGCAAGGCCUCCAAAACUCUCAAGGGGACAAAGUGGCCCAGGAAUUUCUUUCGCCCAUUCAGAUAGAAAGGCACUAGACAGACUAUUCUGAAGGUGCAGGAACUCCUGGAGUACUGUGCCCACGACACCUUCUCGACUAAUAUACCAGAGGGCAAACUUGGAUGCCUGGCAACCUGGCAAAUGGCAAAAGGACUGGUGGUGAGCACUGACCCCUUUUACUAAAUGGGGCAGUGGGGUGAGGAGAACAAAAUACACACUACAAGAAAUAAAAGUGAAAUAAAAGAAGUAAAAAAUUAUUUCAUUUGACCUCUUGCAAAUAAACUUGAAAACCUGGAUAAAAUGGGUACUUUUCUAGAGACACAUUAUUUACAAACUCAUUCAAGAAGAAAUAGGGCAAUCAAAACAGACCAGUAAUUACAGGGGAAAAAUCCAGAAUAUUAUCAAAGAGCUACCCAAUCUACCCUUCAAAUAAAACACUAGCCUAGAUGAUUUCACGGGGGAAUCAACCAACCUUUAAAGAACAGAUAACUCCAUUUCUAUUUAAAUUGUUCCAUAGUACUUUGAAGAGAGGGUUAAAAUAAAAGAGGCAAAAAUCCUACACAGAAUAU